RNAcentral lists this non-coding RNA (154 nucleotides) under unclassified sequences. The record is from RNAcentral.
GUUCAUAUAGUCUGUGAAGAUAAUAUGGACUGUCUUCAGAAGAUGACAAGCCUGUGGGGCGUAAGUAAUAAGUCAUCAAUAACCGACAUUAUUGAGUUAUCGGCUGUCUGUCGGGACAGUGCUUAUUAUGAUCGUGCAGACGUUAAAAUCAGGU